AUACGCCCUACGGGGGAAAAAUUUAUUGCUAUUAGAUGAGCCUAUAUUAGAUUAGUUAGUUGGUGAGGUAAAGGCUUACCAAGACAAUGAUCUAUAGCUGAUCUGAGAGGAUGAUCAGCCACACUGGAACUGAGAUACGGUCCAGACUCCUACGGGAGGCAGCAGUGGGGAAUAUUGGACAAUGGGCGAAAGCCUGAUCCAGCCAUGCCGCAUGAGUGAAGAAGGCCUUCGGGUUGUAAAGCUCUUUUAGUGAGGAAGAUAAUGACGGUACUCACAGAAGAAGUCCUGGCUAACUCCGUGCCAGCAGCCGCGGUAAUACGGAGAGGGCUAGCGUUAUUCGGAAUCAUUGGGCGUAAAGGGCGCGUAGGCGGGUUAGUAAGUUAAAAGUGAAAUCCCAAGGCUCAACCUUGGAACUGCUUUUAAAACUGCUAGUCUAGAGAUUGAAAGAGGAUAGAGGAAUUCCUAGUGUAGAGAUGAAAUUCGUAAAUAUUAGGAGGAACACCAGUGGCGAAGGCGUCUAUCUGGUUCAAAUCUGACGCUGAGGCGCGAAGGCGUGGGGAGCAAACAGGAUUAGAUACCCUGGUAGUCCACGCUGUAAACGAUGAAUGUUAAAUAUGGGAAGUUCACUUUCUGUAUUAUAGCUAACGCGUUAAACAUUCCGCCUGGGGACUACNGUCGCAAGAUUAAAACUCA
RNAcentral lists this ribosomal RNA (693 nucleotides) under uncultured Wolbachia sp. RNAcentral's name for it is "bacterial SSU rRNA". It matches the Rfam family "Bacterial small subunit ribosomal RNA", at positions 173 to 903 of the family's 1533-position model. The record is from RNAcentral. Lineage: Bacteria; Pseudomonadati; Pseudomonadota; Alphaproteobacteria; Rickettsiales; Anaplasmataceae.